RNAcentral lists this unclassified non-coding RNA (234 nucleotides) under fungal sp. RNAcentral describes it as "partial internal transcribed spacer region". The stretch from base 1 to 46 matches the Rfam family "Eukaryotic small subunit ribosomal RNA", at positions 1786 to 1831 of the family's 1831-position model. Lineage: Eukaryota; Fungi. The record is from RNAcentral.
AAGUCGUAACAAGGUUUCCGUAGGUGAACCUGCGGAAGGAUCAUCACUGAUUCGUCCUUUUCUUACCCACACCUGUGGUAUCGAUCCAAGGCAUGCUGCCUGCUGGCCUGGGCCCGCCCAGGGACACCGGCUGGGCCGCGUGCCUAUCUUUCUUUCAUUAUUCACGCGGUCUUUACUCUUUCUUAAACCAAAACAAACAAAACACAACUUUUAACAACGGAUCUCUUGGUUCUC